UCUCUAUGGGUCUCUAUGGGGUCUCUAUGGAUCUCUAUGGGUCUCUAUGGGGUCUCUAUGGGGUCUCUAUGGAUCUCUAUGGGUCUCUAUGGGGUCUCUAUGGGGUCUCUAUGGGGCUCUAUGGGUCUUUAUGGGGUCUCUAUGGGGCUCUAUGGGUCUCUAUGGGGUCUCUAUGGGGUCUCUAUGGGGCUCUAUGGGUCUCUAUGGGGUCUCUAUGGGGUCUCUAUGGUCCCAUUCUGCUCUAUGGGGCUCUAUGGGGUCUCUAUGGGUCUCUAUGGGGUCUCUAUGGGGCUCUAUGGGUCUUUAUGGGGUCUCUAUGGGGUCUCUAUGGGUCUCUAUGGAGUCCCUGUGGGGCUCAAUGGGGUCUCUAUGGGUCUCUAUGGGGUCUCUAUGUGGCUCUACGGGUCUCUAUUGGUCUCUAUGGGGUCUCUAUGGGUCUCUAUGGGGUCUCUGUGUCUCUAUGGGUCUCUAUGGGUCUCUAUGGGGUCUCUAUGGGUCUCUAUGGGUCUCUAUGGGACUCUAUGGGGUCUCUAUGAGGCUCUAUGGGGUCUCUAUGGGUCUCUAUGGGUCUCUAUGGGUCUCUAUGGGACUCUAUGGAUUCUCUAUGAGGCUCUAUGGGGUCUCUAUGGGUCUCUAUGGGUCUCUAUGGGACUCUAAGUGGCUUUAUGGGGCUCUGUGGGGUCUCUAUGGGUCCCAAUGUUCUCCUUGACUCUCUAUGGGACUCUAUGGGGUCUAUGGGUCUCUAUGGGGUCUCUAUGGGUCCCAAUGUUCUCUUAGGUUCUCUAUGGGGCUCAGUGGGGCUCUGUGGGGUCCCAUAUUGCCCCCCACUGUCCCCAUUAUCCCCCAUUAUCCCCAUUAUCCCCAUUAUCCCCAUUGUCCCCAUUAUCCCCCAUUNNNNNNNNNNNNNNNNNNNNNNNNNCUCAGUGUCACCCUGACCCCAAAGUGGGGGUCCCCAUUCCAUUAUGGGGGUCUCGGUGUCACCCUGACCCCAUUGGGGGGGGGGUCCCCAUUCCAUUAUGGGGGUCUCAGUGUCACCCUGACCCCAAAGUGGGGGUCCCCAUUCCAUUAUGGGGGUCUCAGUGUCACCCUGACCCCAAAGUGGGGGUCCCAGUCCCAUGGUGUCCCCAGGGUGGGGGUCCCAACAUCACCACGACCCCAUGGUGGGGGUCCCAGGUCCACAAUGGGGGUCUUGGGGUCACCUUGUCCCCAAGGGGGGGGGGGUCCCAACCCCAAGAUUGGGGUCCCAACGUCACCAUGUCCCCAUAAUGGGGGUCCCAACCCCAAGAUGGGGGUCCCAACAUCACCAUAUCCCCAUGAUGGGGGUCUCAGGUCCAGGAUGGGGUCCCACCUUCAGAAUGGGGGGUCUCAGGUCCAGGAUGGGGGUCUUGGUGUCACCUUAUCCCCAAGGGGGGGGGGUCCCAACCCCAAGAUUGGGGUCCCAAUGUUACCAUGUCCCCAGAAUGGGGGUCCCAAUGUCGCCAUAAUGGGGGUCCCACCUCCAGGAUGGGGGUCCCAAAGUCACCAUGUCCCCAAGAUGGGGGUCCCAGGUCCAGGAUGGGGGCCCCAAAGUCACCAUGUCCCCAUGAUGGGGGUCCCAAUGUCCCCAUAAUGGGGGUCCCAGCUCCUUGAUAGGGGUCUUGGUGUCACCUUAUCCCCAAGGGGGGGGGGGUCCCAACCCCAAGAUGGGGGUCCCACCUUCAGUAUGGGGUCCCAUGGGGGUCCCAACCCCAAGACGGGGGUCCAUACCUUCAGAAUGGGGUCCCAUGGGGGUCCCCAACCCCAGCAAUGGGGUCCCACCUUCAGAAUAGGGGUCCCAUAGGGGGUCCAACCCCAAGAUGGGUCCAACUUCGAAGUCGGGGGUCCCAUGGGGGUCCCCAACCCCAAGAUGGGGGUCCCACCUUCAGAAUGGGGGUCCCAUGGGGGUCCCAACCCCAAGAUGGGGGUCCCACCUUCAGAAUGGGGGUCCCAUGGGGGUCCCAACCCCAAGAUGGGGUUCGCGCCACCUUGCAGAAAUGGGGGUCCCAUGGGGGUCCCAACCCCAAGACGGGGGUCCCAACCUUUCAAGAAGGGGGUCCAUGGGGGUCCCAACACCCAAAUGGGUCCCACCUUCAGAAUGGGGGUCCCAUGGGGGUCCAACCCCAAGAUGGGGG
This 2150-nucleotide long non-coding RNA is filed under the name Coturnix japonica (Japanese quail). RNAcentral describes it as "lncRNA (ENSCJPG00005001668.1)". Lineage: Eukaryota; Metazoa; Chordata; Aves; Galliformes; Phasianidae. The record is from RNAcentral.